RNAcentral lists this ribosomal RNA (482 nucleotides) under uncultured bacterium. RNAcentral's name for it is "partial 16S ribosomal RNA". It matches the Rfam family "Bacterial small subunit ribosomal RNA", at positions 28 to 507 of the family's 1533-position model. The record is from RNAcentral.
GAUGAACGCUGGUGGCGUGCCUAAUACAUGCAAGUCGAACGCUUCACUUCGGUGAAGAGUGGCGAACGGGUGAGUAAUACAUAAGUAACCUGGCAUCUACAGGGGGAUAACUGAUGGAAACGUCAGCUAAGACCGCAUAGGUGUAGAGAUCGCAUGAACUCUAUAUGAAAAGUGCUACGGGACUGGUAGAUGAUGGACUUAUGGCGCAUUAGCUUGUUGGUAGGGUAACGGCCUACCAAGGCGACGAUGCGUAGCCGACCUGAGAGGGUGACCGGCCACACUGGGACUGAGACACGGCCCAGACUCCUACGGGAGGCAGCAGUAGGGAAUUUUCGGCAAUGGGGGAAACCCUGACCGAGCAACGCCGCGUGAAGGAAGAAGUAAUUCGUUAUGUAAACUUCUGUCAUAGAGGAAGAACGGUGGAUAUAGGGAAUGAUAUCCAAGUGACGGUACUCUAUAAGAAAGCCACGGCUAACUACGUG